Peromyscus maniculatus bairdii (prairie deer mouse) is the source of this 72-nucleotide small nucleolar RNA. Ensembl annotates it as snoRNA DQ267102. The record is from Ensembl. Lineage: Eukaryota; Metazoa; Chordata; Mammalia; Rodentia; Cricetidae.
AGGGUCAAUGAUGACCAUUGGUUUCAUAUGAGUUGUGUAUCAUGACUAUAUGUCUGGGAGUCUGAGGUCCAC